AUACGUAGGGAGCGAGCGUUGUCCGGAAUUACUGGGUGUAAAGGGAGCGUAGGCGGGAGUGCAAGUCCGAUGUGAAAUACAUGGGCUCAACCCAUGGGCUGCAUUUGAAACUGCCUUUCUUGAGUGAAGUAGAGGUAAGCGGAAUUCCUGGUGUAGCGGUGAAAUGCGUAGAUAUUAGGAGGAACACCGGUGGCGAAGGCGGCUUACUGGGCUUUUACUGACGCUGAGGCUCGAAAGCGUGGGGAGCAAACAGGAUUAGAUCCCCUGGUAGUCCACGCCGUAAACGAUGAAUACUAGGUGUAGGGGGUAUCGACUCCCUCUGUGCCGCAGUUAACACAAUAAGUAUUCCGCCUGGGGAGUACGACCGCAAGGUUGAAACUCAAAGGAAUUGGCGGGG
This 397-nucleotide ribosomal RNA is filed under the name uncultured bacterium. Its description in RNAcentral is "partial 16S ribosomal RNA". It matches the Rfam family "Bacterial small subunit ribosomal RNA", at positions 523 to 918 of the family's 1533-position model. The record is from RNAcentral.